AUAACAAAAAUCUUAUGAAAACUCUUUUCCAUCACUUACUCUGCCAUGAUCAUGAUCUUCUGAAUUCAGUCUUAUGAAUAAUAUAGGACUACUUAUCUAUUAAAAUCGAUAGAUUUUAUUUAGAUGCGCAUCCUAUUCCUACAGUGAAUCUACUGCAACCAACAUCCACUACAAGAACCCAUAUGGCUAGGGAUCAUGUUUAUAUUUAGUCAAAUUAUAGCAACCCCACCA
This 231-nucleotide long non-coding RNA is filed under the name Elaeis guineensis (African oil palm). RNAcentral's name for it is "long non-coding RNA (EGUI_LNC017216)". Lineage: Eukaryota; Viridiplantae; Streptophyta; Magnoliopsida; Arecales; Arecaceae. The record is from RNAcentral.